UACACGCUGUCCCGUGCAGACUUCCCACUGAAGUCAUGACGAGGCUUUCCACAGAAGUUGUCGCAAGGCCGAAACUUCCCUCCCAAGGCUUUCCAUUUCGGGAAGUAGAAGAUGAUGAGGCUCCCCACUGGAGGCAGAAAUAUAACAAGUCCCGCGCAGGCGUACCCCAGCUCGGGCCGGGUUUAUCGUCUUCCUCUCCCCUGCUGCCGCCACCGUCAAUCACCACAAGAGUCAAGUUAAACUCAGCUACCACUGGCCUGUUGCUCAAAGAAAGCAACUACAGAGAGCAGAGCCGAGGAGGGAGUGGGGAUCCCUGCGAGGGGAGCUGAGCUGAGCUGAGCUGAGAGGGUUGCGGGCACUCGAAGGGUUCGCCUCCCGACUAGGGAGAAGAAGAAGAAGAAGACGAGAUCGAGAGAGAAAUUUAGAGUACAGGGACUUUUCUGAAAAACCUGCGCACGGGGACCGACGGGUAAACGAACGAGAGCAACGUACGUUGAAGCAAGGUGUAAAAGAAAGAGAGAUGAUGCCCAUCCUCUUAUGAAGAUUCCUCUUUCUUACUAAAGAAAGUAAUUGAAGCCACUGAGAAUUUCGAUCAGAGAUAUGAAAUUGGUAGAGGAGCUCAUAGGAUAGUUUACAAGGUAUCCCUUGACACAAGGAAAAUAUAUGUUGUAAAAAAGAUUGGUUUUUCAAGUCAGAAACGAUCAUAUCCGAGCUUGAUAAGAGAAAUCCAAAUUAUUAGGAAAAUCAAGUAUAGAAAUUUAAUGAAACUGAAUAAAUUAUUAUUUGAAUGUAAAUAUGAACUUUUAUUGGAUCAGUAUAUGACAAAUGACAAUCUCCACGAUGUUUUUCAUGAGAUUAAAUCUGCACUAGUCUUGGAUGGAAGGUGAGGUACAAGAUAGCUUUUGGCAUUGUCCAAGGGCUAGAUUAUCUUCACAACGGCUACAGCCCUACGAUCAUACACCGUGACAUAAAGUCGAAAAACAUAAAGGUACAAGAUAACUUUUGACAUUACCUAAGGGCUAGAUUCUCUUCACAACAGCUACAACCUUGCGAUCAUCCACACCCUUGGGCAAUGCUGUAGUCGUUGUGAAGAUAAUCUAGUCUUUGGGCAAUGUCAAAAGUUAUCUUGUACCUUUAUGUUUUUCGGCUUUAUGUCGCGGUGUAUGAUCGUAGGGCUGUAGCCGUUGUGAAGAUAAUCUAGCCCUUGGGCAAUGCCAAAAACUAUCUUGUACCUCACCUUCCACUACAAGAUUGGUGCAGGCUUAAUCUCAUGAAGAACAUCGUGAAGGCCGUCAUUUGUCAUAUACUGAUCCAAUAAAAGUCCAUAUUUAUAUUCAAAUUAUAAUUUAUUCAAUUUUAUUAAAUUUCUAUGCCUGAUUUUCCCAAUAGUUUGGAUUUCUCUUAUCAAUCUUGGAUAUGAUCGUUUCUGACUUGGAAAAGUAAUCUUUUUUAUAACAUAUAUUUUUUUUGAGUCAAGAGAUGUCUUGUAAAGUAUUCCAUGAGCUCCUCUAUCAAUUUCAAUUUCAUAUUUAGUAAUGUUUGUACAGGUAGAAUCUCCUGUCUAACAAGAGAUGCAGAGUCAAGGAUUUCCUAUAAAUGAACUUGGCAUUGAUUCUACAAACUUAAGCAAACCUCUUAGCAAUGAACUGCUAAAGCCAUUGUACAAAGCAUUGAUAAACGUAAAUGAACUGAGAUCAGCCAAGGGCAUCAAGCUUCUUGUUAGAUUGUUCAAAGAAAUAUCCAAGCUCUGUAGCAUAUUCAAAUUACUCAACUCAAAUGAAAGUUCUACUAGUCUAUUAUCACUGAAGUUUAAGGCUGUAUUAAAGUUUUGCAAUGAGCCCAAUGAUGGUGGGAUGCUAUAUCACAAUUUGU
Zingiber officinale is the source of this 1872-nucleotide long non-coding RNA. RefSeq lists it as uncharacterized. The transcript is spliced from 3 exons. NCBI's taxonomy places the organism in Eukaryota, Viridiplantae, Streptophyta, Magnoliopsida, Zingiberales, Zingiberaceae. The record is from RefSeq and is a predicted model, not a curated record.